Molecule: long non-coding RNA, 2914 nt
Organism: Esox lucius (northern pike)
Lineage: Eukaryota; Metazoa; Chordata; Actinopteri; Esociformes; Esocidae
Exons: 3
Source: RefSeq, a predicted model, not a curated record
UGAUAUUCUAGAUGGGAUGUCGUUAGCGUUACAUUAGAACCGUCCCAUCAUUGAAUUGCUGCUUGGGGUUAAAGCCUUGUGCGGCGCAGAGACUUCUCCUCCCCGAUCAAUAGGGGCUCAUUUAAAGACACAGACGAGGAGUCUGUGUUAGUAGUGAAGGGGGGUGGGGAUUAUCGGAACACAGAUAUAGGACCACACAGUGGAGUGUUAAAAGUAGUACUGGACCAGGAACUCAUAGCACCAUUAUCGGCGAUUUGGAGCAAAUACAGCUCAACCACAACAAUGCAGACCACUGUUUUAACCAUUAUUACGCUCGCCGUUGAAAUGUACCGUUUGAAGACCUCAUCCUCAUGGUAGAAACAGGCGUUUCUGUUUCUACAACGAACGUGACGGCAACAAAAUAAAAGCAGGGCGUGUGGGCUUCAACAGGGCCUUGGGGGCCUAAUUACCGUUCUGGGUUGGAUGUAGCCACUAGUGCAAGCCGCCAGCUGAGUUUAGCUGAGAUCUGUCAUUCUGUUUAACAAGGCUUAAAAUAGACAUGGCUAUUCCCCUCGUGAGUCUCCACCAGACGACCAAAGCCCAGCCCAUCUGCACAGUGGCUGGCCAUCUUUGAAUCAGUCUGCCUCGCAGACUUUAUUUUAAAAGGGUCCUGCUGCCGCAAUAUGUUGGACAUGGAUACGCAGACCAGUGACGCAUGGUAACAAUUCCAUAUACACGCUAAGCUCCCCCAUCAAACCCCCAUACUGUGCUCUCACCUGUCUGUAACUCACACAAGUAAAAGGCUGGAAAUAACAUUGCCAGUCAAAAGUUGGCAAUUCCAUACAAUACAGUCCGACACUGUAAAUUCAAACCAAUUCGUUGUUUAAAAAAAUAAAUAAUAAUUAUAUAUAUGUUUUGUUUUUCUCCAUGAUAGCAGUUUGAAAGCGAGUAGGCGUGGAGGAGUGGGCAGAACAGUUGGCAGGGGGACGGCAGGGUUGGCAGGGCUGUGCGCUGGUAGUUAAUAUCAUUCAGCAGCAAUGAAACUGUCAGUGUGGGAGUCAGAAAGCCAAGCGUGAAGACAUUUAUAGAGUGUUUUUAAUUCCCCUACCGCCCCCUCAACCAUCCCAGCAAGCGUUAAAACAUCCGAAAUUGUCCCUUUCCAAAUAAAUGUAUCACUUUACUGUCGGUUAUCACAAUGACUUUCCGUUACAUGUGUUUGUCGGGGCACUAUACCAAAAAGAUUGAUUCGAUAUUACAAAUAAAUCGACAUUUAGGUAAUAUCAUCCAUGUCUGUGCAAUGCCCGGCCUAACGUGGUUAAAAGGGCCGGUGCUGAUAGAGAAGGGUGCCACAACGGCCUGCUUUCUGUUCCGUCCCUUAUCGAUUGUCAAGCCAAACACACACACGCAAGGUUAAAAAGUUCAACAGCUAGCCAGCCAACAAAUAGAGCGCCAGUCAUUUCAAUAACCACAGCAUGCUUGAUGAGCCCUGUGAAUAAACCCGGCUGGGCCUGGCUAGCAGCAGUUCAGGUAUUGAUUGGUGGAACGACAGCGGCACCCGGCUCUUACUGCUUCACAUUGAUGGAUCCACAGCAGAGCUCGUUCUCAGAGGACAGCGCCAGCUGGUUCGCCAACAGAGACCGGGGGGGGAUUUUAGGUCAGCUGAACGAACAGCGACAGGGCCCAUCUUUAAUCUUAAAAAGGAAGCCCAACUGUAACACCGACUUCAACUAGCUAACAUUAUCUAAUGACAUUCCCUUUACUAGACACCUCCAAUCAAAGAGGCUAGACUCAGCCGUGUGUACUUUCACUUGUAUUGGUGGCCCUUGGCAAUCGGCAUUGCCAUGACAAUCGGCAUUGCCAUGACAAUCAGUGGCGUCGGACUGAGGGCAAAGGGGUGCGGAGUAUAUAGGGCCCUAACAUGUAGAGGGGUCCUCGAAAAUGUUUGAAUCUUGAAUAAAGAUGGGAGGGGGCCCUCAGAGACCACCUAUGUACAAGGCCCAGAAUUCUGUGCUACACCCCUGAUGACGAUAGACAGGUCAGGACGAGACCCCCCCCCCCCCCACAUCACACAACAGGGUCAAGUAUAAUCCGUAGUAGUAGUCAACUAGUCAAGGUUUGUUGUGAAGCUAUUGUGUAGUCAACUGUUGUGUAGUCAACUAGUCAAGGUUAAACUGCUGCUAAAUAGCAGCAGUUUAUCCCUAAAAAUAACAAAAAGGGACUGUAUAAAACUAGAAAACCCAGAAUACCCAACAAAAAAUACCAUUAUUUAUUUUCCUUGUAUAUGUGCAUCUUAAGCCCAUCCUCAGGGAAAGCUCUUUGAGCAGUGCCAUGCAGACCAGCUCUCAUUGCGUCGCAAUUACUUCCUGCCGGGUCCAAUCUUGAAUCUGCCACCGCAGUGUCAACUACAAAUGUGUUGUCCUGCUGGAGCAGCAGAGAUACAGCGGCCAGAUAGCCAUCUCUACUACUGCCACAUCCCCAUCCCAGACCAGCCCAGGUCCGUGACUGCUGAUGGGAGAUAUCCAACCCGACCCCGGGCUGUUUGUGGUGGGGAAGAUGGCCUUACUUACCACCUCCCUGGUCGUCCCGGGAUCCCCAGAGAGCAUCAGGUUCUCAGCACACAGUGAAAUAGAUAGCACCGUUUUAGGCUGUUUGAUGAGUGGUGGGAGAAUUCCAUAUUCCCUUUCCUGCUUGGCUGUUCCCCGCUUAGGCUCUCCCCUUUCCCCUAGCAUCAUCGACAGCUCUCUCUAAGGAGGAAGAGAAGCUGAGGGCUUUGGGGGGAGCUGAUCCAAAGGUUAUCUUGAUCUGUCAGCAGUGUUGAAGUGAAGACUACAUGUUCAAGUGCAAACGAAAUCAACGGGGCACAUGGCAGCACAUGGCAGCCCGGUGACCCAGGACACGGCAUCCAGAAUCUGCUGCGCUGAGACCCGGAUCUGAC